RNAcentral lists this ribosomal RNA (603 nucleotides) under uncultured fungus. RNAcentral describes it as "eukaryotic LSU rRNA". It matches the Rfam family "Eukaryotic large subunit ribosomal RNA", at positions 23 to 641 of the family's 3401-position model. Lineage: Eukaryota; Fungi. The record is from RNAcentral.
ACCCGCUGAACUUAAGCAUAUCAAUAAGCGGAGGAAAAGAAACUAACAGGGAUUGCCCUAGUAACGGCGAGUGAAGCGGCAACAGCUCAAAUUUGAAAUCUGGCGUCUUUGGCGUCCGAGUUGUAAUUUGCAGAGGGCGCUUUGGCAUUGGCAGCGGUCCAAGUUCCUUGGAACAGGACGUCACAGAGGGUGAGAAUCCCGUACGUGGUCGCUAGCCUUUACCGUGUAAAGCCCCUUCGACGAGUCGAGUUGUUUGGGAAUGCAGCUCUAAAUGGGAGGUAAAUUUCUUCUAAAGCUAAAUACUGGCCAGAGACCGAUAGCGCACAAGUAGAGUGAUCGAAAGAUGAAAAGCACUUUGGAAAGAGAGUUAAAAAGCACGUGAAAUUGUUGAAAGGGAAGCGCUUGCAGCCAGACUUGCCUGUAGUUGCUCAUCCGGGUUUUUACCCGGUGCACUCUUCUAUAGGCAGGCCAGCAUCAGUUUGGGCGGUUGGAUAAAGGUCUCUGUCAUGUACCUCUCUUCGGGGAGAACUUAUAGGGGAGACGACAUGCAACCAGCCCGGACUGAGGUCCGCGCAUCUGCUAGGAUGCUGGCGUAAUGGCUGU